CCUACGGGAGACAGCAGUGAGGAAUAUUGGUCAAUGGGCGCGAGCCUGAACCAGCCAAGUAGCGUGAAGGAUGACUGCCCUACGGGUUGUAAACUUCUUUUAUAAAGGAGUAAAGUGAGGCAUGUGUGCCUUUUUGUAUGUACUUUAUGAAUAAGGAUCGGCUGACUCCGUGCCAGCAGCCGCGGUAAUACGGAGGAUCCGAGCGUUAUCCGGAUUUAUUGGGUUUAAGGGGAGCGUAGAUGGGUUGUUAAGCCGGCGGUAAAGAUUCAGGGCUCAACCCUGUCGAGCCGUCGAAACUGGCAGUCUGGAGUGGGCGAGAGGUGUGCGGAAUGCGUGGUGUAGCGGUGAAAUGCAUAGAUAUCACGCAGAACGCCGAUUGCGAAGGCAGCAUACCGGCGCGCAACUGACGCUGAGGCACGAAAGCGUGGGGAUCGAACAGGAUUAGAUACCCUGGUAGUC
This 459-nucleotide ribosomal RNA is filed under the name uncultured bacterium. RNAcentral describes it as "partial 16S ribosomal RNA". It matches the Rfam family "Bacterial small subunit ribosomal RNA", at positions 338 to 795 of the family's 1533-position model. The record is from RNAcentral.